RNAcentral lists this ribosomal RNA (196 nucleotides) under uncultured bacterium. RNAcentral's name for it is "partial 16S ribosomal RNA". It matches the Rfam family "Bacterial small subunit ribosomal RNA", at positions 328 to 539 of the family's 1533-position model. The record is from RNAcentral.
ACGCUCGACACCUACGGGGGCAGCAGUGGGGAAUAUUGCACAAUGGGGGAAACCCUGAUGCAGCAACGCCGCGUGAAGGAAGACGGUUUCGGAUUGUAAACUUCUGUUCUUAGUGAAGAUAGUGACGGUAGCUAAGGAGCAAGCCACGGCUAACUACGUGCCAGCAGCCGCGGUAAUCUGAGCGGGCUGGCAAGGC